RNAcentral lists this ribosomal RNA (304 nucleotides) under uncultured Lecanicillium. RNAcentral's name for it is "SSU rRNA". It matches the Rfam family "Eukaryotic small subunit ribosomal RNA", at positions 458 to 764 of the family's 1831-position model. The record is from RNAcentral. Lineage: Eukaryota; Fungi; Ascomycota; Sordariomycetes; Hypocreales; Cordycipitaceae.
GGGGAGGUAGUGACAAUAAAUACUGAUACAGGGCUCUUUUUGGGUCUUGUAAUUGGAAUGAGUACAAUUUAAAUCCCUUAACGAGGAACAAUUGGAGGGCAAGUCUGGUGCCAGCAGCCGCGGUAAUUCCAGCUCCAAUAGCGUAUAUUAAAGUUGUUGUGGUUAAAAAGCUCGUAGUUGAACCUUGGGCCUGGCUGGCCGGUCCGCCUCACCGCGUGUACUGGUCCGGCCGGGCCUUUCCCUCUGUGGAACCUCAUGCCCUUCACUGGGUGUGGCGGGGAAACAGGACUUUUACUUUGAAAAA